RNAcentral lists this long non-coding RNA (2654 nucleotides) under Homo sapiens (human). RNAcentral's name for it is "HSALNT0146083". The record is from RNAcentral. Lineage: Eukaryota; Metazoa; Chordata; Mammalia; Primates; Hominidae.
CCCGGCAUUUCCCUUCAGAGAGUUGCUGGGGAUGCACACCUGCUCUGGGACAGCCGGAGUGCGCAACCCGCACUUCUACACGCGCGCGCCGGGCAACAUAGCGCACCGCGGGUACACGCACGCCGACCGGACACACGCAGUCUCGUACACGCCCAACGAGCGCACACACCCGCACUCCAUGCACGCGCGAUGGGCGCACACACUCGCAUCCCUACACGUGCACACACCCGCGCUCCAAUUACCGCGCUAGCGCGCAAAAGAGCCGCAACUUCCGAGUGGGACUCGGCAUGCGGGGGCAGUGCCCGGUACUUCACCAUCAGUCACCUUCGCGUCCGCCUCCUCCCCUGCUGGUUGCACCUCCAGCCGCAGAGAUUUCCGGCUGGGGCACCAGAACUGUCCAGGCCGAAAGAGCUGCUCCUCCGUCACAAAGCGCAGUUGCACACUGUACUGCAGGCGCGCGGGGACCCGGGCCGGAGCCGGGGUCGCAGCCAUGGUCCAAGCGCCUCUGCUCCUGAGCCCUAGCAGUGCCUCCCCCGCGCUGCUCUGGGCACCGAGAAACUGCUGGGGCAAGGGGGAGGGAUUUGGAAGCGCGCACCACCUUCCCCAGCUCCCGUUGCAAGUUCAGUCUUCGACCUCCGAGACGCCCGGUGACUUCUGCUGGCACCUGCUGCCCUCGGCAUCACCUCCCUCAUCCCCCUGGAGGGCACGCUGGAAAGCUGCAACUCCCCACCCUCCGCACAGGAGCGCCCCGUAGACGCGCAGAUGGGCCCAGCCACCCAGCGGGGCGGCAGCCCUGAGCACACAAGUUUGGAGAGCGCGCGAGGCACCUGAAAGUGGUUGGGGUUUGGAAGCAAAAGGGUGACACCUGCUGUUCGCUGGGACCGCUCUGCGGGUGUGGGCGUCGGUUUGGAAACGUCCUUUGCCUGAGCUCUGCUUGGCUGUGUGCCCCAUUCUUAUUACUCUAUCUCAGUGGGUCUCAAUCCCGGCUACACAUUGGAAUCACUUGGAAAGCUUUAAAAAUAAAACCAAACCUGUGCUUGGGCUCCACCAUAGGUGUUCACCACAGCUGUCAGUAUAAAUCAAUGCAUCUUGGUUCCAUUCUUCAUCAUUUGCUGGUAGCUAAAUUAUGGUAAAUUCAGCUAAGGACAUUUUAAAAUCCUGUUUAAUUUGUCCACAUGCUAAAUAUCCCAGCACACAAGAGAAAAAGCAGCAUGUACUUGGAUAAGACAAACCUAGGGCUUCCUUCGAGUUAAGGAACAGUCUUGGAAGUCUUGUUAUAGUUAAUGGUUUUUUGAGUGGAUGAGCAAAUGAAUGAAUAUACAAAUGGUUAUGCACACAAUUAAGCAAACUACUUGAUCACAUUCCUCCUUUUGGUUUUGCUUCCUCUACCUGUCAGUUGUCCUGAACACCUGCGGAGGUAUUUUGUGCAGGAUGGUUUACCACAUUGGCCUUGGGAGUUGAGGAAGCACCAGCUUAGGUUCUGCCACGUGCUCUUUCCUGACAGCGAGUGCUGCUGGCUGCUGACGCCUAGAAUCUCAGCACGGGAGCUGCCUUUGUCACAGACCUUGGUUCCCCAUUCAAUCGAGCACCUGUGCAGUUGCCCUGUGGUCUAGCAUCCCAGGCUCAGCAGUGACAGCUCCUGAUGGGCUUUCACCUGACUUUCUAAAUCAGUGCUGUUCUAAAUCUGUGCUAAAUCUGGUGACCAGCCAGAGCCUGGUCACCCCUGCAUGGAGUAGGAGUGAAGCUUAUGAAAAGGUGAGGUGCCAAACACACAGAGGAGAACACGGAGGAGGCCAUAUUGUAAUAAAGAGAAAGCAAGCAGUCAGAAGUCACCCCAUAAAACACCUUCCACCCUCUGAGCAUGACCAGCAAAGCGGUUUCUUCUUGCGGACACUGCAUCAGCCCAGCUCAAAGUGCAUUCCAUUCUGAUGAACAUCCACAAACAGUUAUGAAGAAGACCCAAAUGUCAUGAUUUUGUUCCUCUCAGAUAAUAAAAAUAUCAUGAUUCUGAAGGAGUGUUGGUGGGUGUUCAAGUCAAUUCAGUUACAAGCAUACGCCUUACCCCAGUUCUCGUGGCUUCAUCCUGAAUUAGAGUUGUCCCCUGUCAUCUGGAAUAUAUUUCCCAUUGAGACACAUUACUCUCACUCCUUCUACAGCUGUCCCAGGGUCAGUGCUUGAUUUCUCAGAGAUUUUGUUAUGUGAAUCAGUCCAAAGUGUGUUACAGCAAGACUAAGUCAUCAUGAGUCACAUGAUCCACACAUUUCCUAUUUGUAUCUUUGCUUGGUUGAGUGUGUUGUGGGGGGUUAGAAUAUAUUUUGGUCUGCUUUAACCUUUGUGUUCCAAUUCACUCUUAGGUUGAAAGAAAAAUAUAAACUCAAAUUUAAAGAAUAGCCUUCUUGUAAAAGACAAGCUUGGCUAUGACUAAGCAGUUGUUACUUGAUGAGCGAGAGAAGCCCCUUCUUGGGUAAUUGGGGCUGCAGGAAUGGAGUGACCGUUUCCCCAUCAGCAUCCCCUCUGGGUCCUUCAGGUCUGAGCUAGAAGAGCAAGGGCCAGCGUCCCCCAGCACAUAGUUGUCUUGAUGCCACAGACAAAAUAAUUUAAUUCAUGUAUGCGUCCUCAUAAAUCUGACAAAUGUUUAGAAAAUGGAAGCUUUG